Molecule: long non-coding RNA, 1087 nt
Filed under: Sinocyclocheilus anshuiensis
Lineage: Eukaryota; Metazoa; Chordata; Actinopteri; Cypriniformes; Cyprinidae
Description: lncRNA (ENSSANG00000015139.1)
Source: RNAcentral
AUUUUUUUUUUCAGUGCACUGAUGCUUUUUAAAGGAACAGUUGUCAAAAAUUAAAAUAUGUUGAAAAUGUACUCACCCUCAGGCCAUCCAAGUUCUAGAUGAGUUUGUUUCUUCAUUGGAACAGAUCUGAAGAAAGAGUUAUUAUGGAUUUUGAACUGGUAUUUUGACCAGAUGGAGUAAAAAAACAUGGAUUUUGGGUAAGUUAUUCAGGGAAGGAGUUACUUGCAUCUCACUGUUGAGGAAUGUGAAUUAAAAGCUUCAGCUUCAGCAAAUUUAAAAAGGAGCCCAAUGAUUUGAAAUAAAAUUAAAACAAACAUGUGUGUCUUAUAAACAUGCAGCUUUUAAUUUCACAAGACAUUAACUGAUGGACUGGAGUCGUGUGGAUUACUUGUGGAUUAUUGUGAUGUUUUUAUCAGCUGUUUGGACUCUCAUUCUGACGGCAGCCAUUCACUGCAGAGGAUCCACUGGUGAGCAAGUGAUCUAAUGCUACAUUUCUCCAAAUCUGUUCCGAUGAAGAAACAAGAUAAUCUACAUCUUGGAUGGCCUGAGGAUGUGCUCUCUACGAUGUAUAAACAAUCAGUUUUAAUCGACAACUUAAUUUUUUGGCUCAAACGUAGAGUGGUGUGUUAUGCAUUAGCAUCGUGCACAUUGAUUCCCAAUGAGCCAAUCGCACAUGCUUAUGCACUCAGAUGAAUGCGUCAAGCACUUAAUUGUUCAUUGGUUGACUGUAACAAAUGAAGCUUGGCUUAAGGCCACAGCGAGGGUCCAGGAUAACAGUUAAUAGCGAGAUCUGCUGCAGGAGAUUGUCAGAUGUUUGGUCAUCUGUUUUAUUUACUGUUUUCAUUAAUUUAUCUUACCAAUGACAAUUCCAGAUGGAACUUAGUAUUUAGUGUCAACUAAAUGUGAUUUGAUUUAUUUAGUACAUGAUAAUAGCAGUGAAGGUGGUAGACUUUAAAUAGACCUCUAUUCAUGUCUAUUCAUAUGCAUGCAAAGUGGAUAAAAAAAAAAAACACGGUAACACUUUCUAUGAAGCCCGUAUUUAUAAUACAUUAUAAGGGUAUUCUUAAGGCAUUAUAACGAAUGCACA